UAUAAACCAUUGCCCUGGAGUGAUCCAUCCUUUUCAACGCUGCUGUUCCCUGCCUGCUGAUCACUUGCUCUGCUCCCUUGCACCCAUCCAGGCUCUGACAUUGCUCUGCUCCAUCCCAGCCAAGCACGAUUCUACUCCUCUUGCACUUAGUUUUACUUUCAAAACCUUGUGCAGCUAAUAACCACUCUGAAUGUUGUCCUUUCUCAGGCUCUUUGGAGAUGAUGGCAUUGCUAUUUCCACCUUCCUGUCCCUCUUCCCCUUGUGGCUUGUUCCAGCAACCUUGUGAUAAAAUUGUAAGGGACAAUGAGAAGAGAAAAUAAAACAAAGAAAAAGAAGGAACUUGAAUUUAUAGAGUGCAUUCAAACCUGCCUGCAUCUCUUUCUCUUCCAUCUGCAACACCUCCAUUCCCACUCUCUCUUUGUGUUUCCCAGUCAUCAAACAGUUCCACAGCUAGGAUUAACUGAGACCCAAAACUGGGCUUUACAGAAGCAGAUGGAUGUAGGGAACAAAGAGACGAAGGACACUUUAAMAUUUAAUUCUGUCUAGUUCUCUUGAUAUUGCAACCUCUGGAUUUGUAAAACUGUGAGAUUUGUUUUGAUUAUUAAAUGUUUUUG
This is a long non-coding RNA of Malurus melanocephalus (red-backed fairy wren), 614 nucleotides long. RefSeq lists it as uncharacterized. The transcript is spliced from 3 exons. Lineage: Eukaryota; Metazoa; Chordata; Aves; Passeriformes; Maluridae. The record is from RefSeq and is a predicted model, not a curated record.